This 783-nucleotide ribosomal RNA is filed under the name bacterium enrichment culture clone SC-1_33. RNAcentral's name for it is "bacterial SSU rRNA". It matches the Rfam family "Bacterial small subunit ribosomal RNA", at positions 1 to 771 of the family's 1533-position model. The record is from RNAcentral.
UAGAGUUUGAUCCUGGCUCACCACUAACGCUGGCGGCGUGCCUAAUACAUGCAAGUCGAGCGGAUCUCGAUGGAAGCUUGCUUCCAUCUUGGUUAGCGGCGGACGGGUGAGUAACACGUAGGCAACCUGNNNNNNNNACCGGGAUAACAUUCGGAAACGAAUGCUAAGACCGGAUAGGCAGCGAGGCGGCAUCGCCUUGCUGAGAAACACGGUGCAAGCUGUGGCUGGAGGAUGGGCCUGCGGCGCAUUAGCUAGUUGGUGGGGUAAUGGCUCACCAAGGCGACGAUGCGUAGCCGACCUGAGAGGGUGAACGGCCACACUGGGACUGAGACACGGCCCAGACUCCUACGGGAGGCAGCAGUAGGGAAUCUUCCACAAUGGGCGCAAGCCUGAUGGAGCAACGCNGCGUGAGUGAGGAAGGCUUUCGGGUCGUAAAGCUCUGUUGCCAGGGNNGAAUAAGAGUGAGGUAACUACUCACUCGAUGACGGUACCUGAGAAGAAAGCCCCGGCUAACUACGUGCCAGCAGCCGCGGUAAUACGUAGGGGGCAAGCGUUGUCCGGAAUUAUUGGGCGUAAAGCGCGCGCAGGCGGUCUUUUAAGUCUGGUGUCUAAGUGCGGGGCUCAACCCCGUGAUGCACUGGAAACUGGGAGACUUGAGUGCAGAAGAGGAGAGCGGAAUUCCACGUGUAGCGGUGAAAUGCGUAGAGAUGUGGAGGAACACCAGUGGCGAACGCGGCUCUCUGGACUGUAACUGACGCUGAGGCGCGAAAGCGUGGGGAGCAA